Molecule: ribosomal RNA, 445 nt
Filed under: uncultured bacterium
Lineage: Bacteria
Description: partial 16S ribosomal RNA
Rfam family: Bacterial small subunit ribosomal RNA
Source: RNAcentral
GUAAGGAAUAUUGGUCAAUGGGCGGAAGCCUGAACCAGCCAUGCCGCGUGCAGGACGACGGCCCUACGGGUUGUAAACUGCUUUUGCCCGGGAAUAACCCCCCGCUCUUGAGCGGGGCUGAACGUACCGGGAGAAUAAGGAUCGGCUAACUCCGUGCCAGCAGCCGCGGUAAUACGGAGGAUCCGAGCGUUAUCCGGAUUUAUUGGGUUUAAAGGGUGCGUAGGCGGCCUGUUAAGUCAGGGGUGAAAUACGGCAGCUCAACUGUCGCAGUGCCCUUGAUACUGACGGGCUUGAAUACCGGUGAAGGCGGCGGAAUGAGACAAGUAGCGGUGAAAUGCAUAGAUAUGUCUCAGAACCCCGAUUGCGAAGGCAGCUGCCUAACCGGCGAUUGACGCUGAUGCACGAAAGCGUGGGGAUCGAACAGGAUUAGAAACCCGUGUAGUCC